Molecule: transfer RNA, 93 nt
Filed under: Enterobacter hormaechei
Lineage: Bacteria; Pseudomonadati; Pseudomonadota; Gammaproteobacteria; Enterobacterales; Enterobacteriaceae
Also listed under: 1 other name
Description: tRNA-Tyr
Source: RNAcentral
UCGUUUGUCGGCGAACUGGUAGGCGCCGGAACCUGUAUCGUGCUAACAAUUGUGAUGGUGCAGUUCGUGGGCUUCGAAGACCCGAUGAAUGAA